CCUGCAGGAAAGGACAUCAACCGAGACUCCGCAAGUAGUGGCGAGCGAACGCGGACCAGGCCAGUGGCAAUGAGGAAUAAAGUGGAACGAUUUGGAAAGGUCGGCCGUAGCGGGUGAUAGCCCCGUACACGUAGAACACUCAUUGUCCUUGAGUAAGGCGGGACACGUGAAAUCCUGUCUGAACAUGGGGAGACCACUCUCCAAGCCUAAGUACUCGUGCAUGACCGAUAGCGAACAAGUACCGUGAGGGAAAGGUGAAAAGCACCCCGACAAGGGGAGUGAAAUAGAACCUGAAACCGGAUGCCUACAAACAGUCGGAGCCCGCAAGGGUGACGGCGUACCUUUUGUAUAAUGGGUCAACGACUUAGUGUGACAUGCAAGCUUAAGCCGGUAGGUGUAGGCGUAGCGAAAGCGAGUCUGAAUAGGGCGCCUUAGUAUGUCGCAUUAGACCCGAAACCGAGUGAUCUAGCCAUGAGCAGGUUGAAGGUUGGGUAACACCAACUGGAGGACCGAACCCGCAUCUGUUGCAAUAGAUUGGGAUGACUUGUGGCUAGGGGUGAAAGGCCAAUCAAACUCGGAAAUAGCUGGUUCUCCGCGAAAUCUAUUUAGGUAGAGCGUCGACCGAAUACCCCCGGGGGUAGAGCACUGGAUGGGCUAUGGGGACUCACCGUCUUACUGAUCCUAACCAAACUCCGAAUACCGGGGAGUACUAGUCGGCAGACACACGGCGGGUGCUAACGUCCGUCGUGAAAAGGGCAACAACCCUGACCUCCAGCUAAGGUCCCCAAGUCAUGGCUAAGUGGGAAAGGAUGUGAGGAUCCCAAAACAACCAGGAUGUUGGCUUAGAAGCAGCCAUCAUUUAAAGAAAGCGUAACAGCUCACUGGUCUAAAUAAGGGUCUUUGCGCCGAAAAUGUAACGGGGCUGAAGCCAUGCACCGAAGCUGAGGAUUUGAUCGCAAGAUCAAGUGGUAGCGGAGCGUUCCGUAAGCCUGUGAAGGGAUACCCGUGAGGGGUCCUGGAGGUAUCGGAAGUGCGAAUGUUGACAUGAGUAACGAUAAAGAGGGUGAGAGACCCUCUCGCCGAAAGACCAAGGGUUCCUGCUUAAAGUUAAUCUGAGCAGGGUUAGCCGGCCCCUAAGACGAGGCGGACACGCGUAGUCGAUGGGAACCACGUUAAUAUUCGUGGGCCUGGUGGUAGUGACGGAUCGCUUAACUUGUCUGGACUUAUUGGAUUGUCCAGGCUUGGACGCGGUCCCGGGAAAUAGCUCCACCGUAUAGACCGUACCCGAAACCGACACAGGUGGUCAGGUAGAGUAUACCAAGGCGCUUGAGAGAACUGCGUUGAAGGAACUCGGCAAAUUGCACGCGUAACUUCGGAAGAAGCGUGACCCCAUGAUGGGCAACCAUUGUGGGGUGGCACAGACCAGGGGGUAGCGACUGUUUAUCAAAAACACAGGGCUCUGCGAAGUCGCAAGACGACGUAUAGGGUCUGACGCCUGCCCGGUGCUGGAAGGUUAAGAGGAGGGGUGCAAGCUCUGAAUCGAAGCCCCAGUAAACGGCGGCCGUAACUAUAACGGUCCUAAGGUAGCGAAAUUCCUUGUCGGGUAAGUUCCGACCUGCACGAAUGGCGUAACGACUUCCCCGCUGUCUCCAACGCAGACUCAGUGAAAUUGAAUUCCCCGUGAAGAUGCGGGGUUCCUGCGGUCAGACGGAAAGACCCCGUGCACCUUUACUAUAGCUUUACACUGGCAUUCGUGUCGGCAUGUGUAGGAUAGGUGGUAGGCUUUGAAGCGGGGACGCCAGUUCUCGUGGAGCCAUCCUUGAAAUACCACCCUUAUCGUCAUGGAUGUCUAACCGCGGUCCGUCAUCCGGAUCCGGGACAGUGUAU
Molecule: ribosomal RNA, 1887 nt
Filed under: Sinorhizobium americanum
Lineage: Bacteria; Pseudomonadati; Pseudomonadota; Alphaproteobacteria; Hyphomicrobiales; Rhizobiaceae
Description: bacterial LSU rRNA
Rfam family: Bacterial large subunit ribosomal RNA
Source: RNAcentral